GGGGCUGUAGCUCAGUGGCAGAGCAUUUGUCUAGCAUGCAUGAGGCACUGGGUUCAAUCCUCAGCACCA
Molecule: transfer RNA, 69 nt
Filed under: Ictidomys tridecemlineatus (thirteen-lined ground squirrel)
Lineage: Eukaryota; Metazoa; Chordata; Mammalia; Rodentia; Sciuridae
Description: Spermophilus tridecemlineatus (thirteen-lined ground squirrel) tRNA
Rfam family: tRNA
About the family: Transfer RNA (tRNA) molecules are approximately 80 nucleotides in length. Their secondary structure includes four short double-helical elements and three loops (D, anti-codon, and T loops). Further hydrogen bonds mediate the characteristic L-shaped molecular structure. tRNAs have two regions of fundamental functional importance: the anti-codon, which is responsible for specific mRNA codon recognition, and the 3' end, to which the tRNAs corresponding amino acid is attached (by aminoacyl-tRNA synthetases). tRNAs cope with the degeneracy of the genetic code in two manners: having more than one tRNA (with a specific anti-codon) for a particular amino acid; and 'wobble' base-pairing, i.e. permitting non-standard base-pairing at the 3rd anti-codon position.
Source: Rfam by way of RNAcentral